Molecule: ribosomal RNA, 512 nt
Filed under: uncultured bacterium
Lineage: Bacteria
Description: partial 16S ribosomal RNA
Rfam family: Bacterial small subunit ribosomal RNA
Source: RNAcentral
GAUGAACGCUGGCGGCGUGCCUAAUACAUGCCAGUCGAACGAAACUUCUUUAUCACCGAGUGCUUGCACUCACCGAUAAAGGGUUGAGUGGCGAACGGGUGAGUAACACGUGGGCAACCUGCCCAAAAGAGGGGGAUAACACUUGGAAACAGGUGCUAAUACCCCAUAACCAUAGUUACCGCAUGGUAACUAUGUAAAAGGUGGCUAUACUACCGCUUUUGGAUGGGCCCGCGGCGCAUUAGCUAGUUGGUAGGGUAAAGGCUUACCAAGGCAAUGAUGCGUAGCCGAACUGAGAGGAUGAUCGGCCACAUUGGGACUGAGACACGGCCCAGACUCCUACGGGAGGCAGCAGUAGGGAAUCUUCCACAAUGGGCGAAAGCCUGAUGGAGCAACGCCGCGUGGGUGAAGAAGGUCUUCGGGUCGUAAAACCCUGUUGUUAGGGAAGAAAGUGCGUGGGAGUAAAUGUUCACGUUUUGACGGUACCUAACCAGAAAGCCACGGCUAACUACGUG